UUACAUGGAGAUCAGUUGGUAGAGCAUGAGACUCUUAAUCUCAGGAUCAUGGCGUCAAGCCCCAUGUAGGGCAAAA
Podarcis lilfordi (Lilford's wall lizard) is the source of this 76-nucleotide non-coding RNA. NCBI's taxonomy places the organism in Eukaryota, Metazoa, Chordata, Lepidosauria, Squamata, Lacertidae. The record is from the annotation of a GenBank genome assembly.